RNAcentral lists this ribosomal RNA (712 nucleotides) under Lotharella globosa. Its description in RNAcentral is "partial Bacterial small subunit ribosomal RNA". It matches the Rfam family "Bacterial small subunit ribosomal RNA", at positions 1 to 695 of the family's 1533-position model. Lineage: Eukaryota; Cercozoa; Chlorarachniophyceae. The record is from RNAcentral.
UUUUGAGAAUUUGAUCCUGGUUCAGAUUGAAUGCUGACGGCGUGGAUGAGGCAUGCAAGUCGAACGAAAUAGUAGCAAUGCUAUUUAGUGGCGAAAGGGUUAGUAAUACAUGAAUAAUCUGCCUUUUACCUGGGGAUAACAACUGGAAACGAUUGCUAAUACCGAAUGACAAUAGCUUGUGGCAUCACAAAUUAUUGAAAGUUGGGGACUUCUAAAGAAGCCUAACGGUAAAAGAAGAGUUCAUGUGAUAUCAGCUUGUUGGUGUGGUAAAAGCACACCAAGGCUUGGACGUCUAGGCGGAUUGAGAGAUUGAUCGCCAACACUGGGACUGAGACACUGCCCAGACUCCUACGGGAGGCUGCAGUCGAGAAUCUUUCGCAAUGGGCGAAAGCCUGACGAAGCGACGCCGUGUGAACGAAGAAGGCCUUCGGGUUGUAAAGUUCUUUCGCCUGGGAACAAGAGAGAGGAGCUAAUAACUUCUCAAUUUGAGGGUACCAGGUAAAGAAGCACCGGCUAACUCCGUGCCAGCAGCUGCGGUAAUACGGAGGGUGCAAGCAUUAAUCGGAUUUAUUGGGCGUAUAGGGGGCGUAGGCGGUUAGGAAAGUCAGAUGUGAAAUUCCGUGGCUCAACCACGGAGCUGCAUUUGAAACUUCUUAACUCGAGGAUGGACGGAGAAAAUGGAAUUCCACGUGUAGCGGUGAAAUGCGUAGAU